CCUGCACUUGAGAAGAUCAUUAAACCUUCCUUUGUCCUACAUGAAUAUUUUAUCUUGGCUGGCAUAACUGCCGGGCUCCACAACUCUGAUAAAAGUAAAAUAUGAGCUGUCUUAGCAGACAGCAUUGUUCAUGGUGAAAAUAACCCUGAUUGGUAAAUUGCAUCUGACUGGGGGUACUAUGAAUGAACAACCUAUAGCAUUUGAGAGGCCAUAGAUUUGGACUCGUGAGGGCUGUGCCUUUGAACCUGCACCUGAUGCCUCUUGGGAGAAUUCUGGGAUUUAACUCCACGACUCCAGUUCUGCUGCAAAUCCUCCUGCAAGACAUGGUGAUGUUUUCAUACUGCCACUGGACAUAUGCAUGUAUGGAUUUGCCUCCAUUUCCAGGAUUGAAGAAGCAUGGACCACUGGCCAGAUCUUCCUGAACCGUUCCCAAGACUCUGUGUCACCUCCGCCUCCUGCCUGGACACCCUUACAGCCAAUCUUUGUAUGUCUUCUCUGGUGUUUAUGUCACUGUGGGAGACCCAAGAUUCUCAGGUCACACACCUCAUCCUUCCUUCUCCAAUCCUGAUUUGGCCCUGCACCCUGAUCUGUCCCUAUCACCCAUUGCCAUAUCUCUCAUGAUGCUUAAUUCCUUGCAUGCACAGUAUUUAAAUUAUCCUAGCACUUUCUGCUUGGCAGAAAUCACAGCCCUAAUUCCACUCCACUCUGCUGAACCAACACCUGGUGCAGUUGGAUGUACUGCGCCUGUAGAAAAAACCCAGAACGAGGAUGGGGGGGCAUCUCCAUUUAACUUUAUGACCAUUGCUCUGAAGUGUGCCUUUUCAGUCGCCCUGCUUGCAGGAGAGAUUUCAUUUUCACCCGGAGACAUUUAUUUUUUGCCUUCCUUUCUCCCUAAAGUCUCCAGUAGUGCCAUCUGCAGGCCACAGGUCCCUGCUGUGCAGAUGGUCCACACAAGGGCAGCUGGGGGGCAGCUGUAAGCCGAUCCCAUGCCACCUGCAUCAGCCAAAAGGAAGGGGCUCUCUCAUUCAACAGACACAAAGAACACUUACCAACACCACCAAUUCCCAAAUGCGUACCUGCAGCCUGAACCCUGUUCUGAAAUGUGGAUUUGAGGGUCCAGCAGCCCACUCAGCUCACGCAAUAGGACCCGAACCUCACAUGCAUAUAAACAAGUUCCUAAUAUUUCUCCUCAAACUCAUACCUCUGCAAUCUUUCCAUCUCAUGAAUGCAGCGUUAUCCUUCCUAAAAGCCUUGGGGGCACUCCUGACCCUCUGCUCUCUCAACCCACAUCCAACACAUCAGCAAUUUCUGUUCGCUAUACCUUCAAAAUAUAAGUAGAAUCUGAUCAGUCGUGUUUCAUGGCCAAUGUGCUCAUCCAAGCCACCAUUUUCUCAGGCUGGACUGUUACCAUCGUCUUCUAAUUGGUGUGCUUGCUUCCAUCUUUCCAACAUCCUCCCUGGCUAACACCCCAGAGCCAAAGAGACUCCAUUACAACCUAAGUCACAUAACUCUUCUGCUCAGAUGAUGCCGAUGGCUUUCCAGCUCUCUCGAAGUAACAGCUGCAAGCAUAUUUACAGUGCCCUCAGGGUCCCUUCGUGGCUGCCACGCUGACAUGACCUUAGGGACCUGGUGUCUAGUGUCACUCUCCUUGUUCACAAGCCAAGAGCUCCAGCUCCACCUGUCUCCACACCGUGCCCUGAAAUACACAGAUGUGCUGCACCCUGAGGCUUCUGCACUAGGCCCUCCACCUCGGUGUUUCUCUGAUGCUCUGCCUAGCACUGCAUGCCUUCACUCAAGGGUCUCUUUCUCAAAUUGUGACACACCACAUUCUCCU
This 1834-nucleotide long non-coding RNA is filed under the name Homo sapiens (human). RNAcentral describes it as "HSALNT0344708". The record is from RNAcentral. Lineage: Eukaryota; Metazoa; Chordata; Mammalia; Primates; Hominidae.